This is a long non-coding RNA of Biomphalaria glabrata, 2270 nucleotides long. RefSeq lists it as uncharacterized. The transcript is spliced from 2 exons. The record is from RefSeq and is a predicted model, not a curated record. NCBI's taxonomy places the organism in Eukaryota, Metazoa, Mollusca, Gastropoda, Planorbidae.
GUCGGUUCACGAGGACAAGGAAGUAGAUCUAGGUGUCGAGAUAAAAAAAAACUGGCUUUAACUCAGCCUGGCACAAUUUCAGUGCUCGUUUGUUCUAUGCUUUUCAUGCAGAAUUCAAAUAUGUCAAAAACUCAAAUCUAAAAAGCCAUCGGAGUUUCUCUUUAAAAAAUGACUGAACUCAAAACAGGAUAUACAAAAAAAAAGUUGCCAACUAAAUGCUUCAAAGUUUGACCUACUUCAAUAGAAGUGCUAUGCGUGAAGUCUGCCCUUCAACACAAGUCACAUCAACUCUCUGCAGCGCAUGAACAUAGCACUGCCAAAUCUGGGCUGGACGGGACAGGAAUGGAUCAAUAUAGGCACAUAAAAAGAAACGUUUGAUUUGAGGUGAGGCACCCACAGCAACCUGGGCAAAGAAACAGAUGAAUGUUUAGCAAUACAACAUAAAUAUAUGUUUUAAAACAUGAGAUUCAUGUCAUUGAAUGUACUAAAAAGAAAUUGUAAAAUAUUUUCCCAUAAAUUAAAAAAAGACAUCUUAAUUAACUGAGCAUCUAGCAAUAGAAAUUACAUUUGAGUAGAGAACAAGCAUUAUUUUUAAAAAAUACAUUUUCAAAAACAAAGCUUAUAUAUCAGUGUCAUAUCUCUCAAUAGUGCAAAGUUCAUCUCUAGAAAGCAAAGUUAAUUAAUUACCACUAAAUAUUUAACUAAUUGGUUAAUAUUUUUAUUGAUUCUUGUAUUGUCUUUGACUAUGAAUAAUUUUGCACAAAUUCAACUUGAUCUGAGAACAGGAAAUGGGAGAAAAAACUUGUAAAGAUUCAUUCUAGACAAACAGACAGACGGAGUGAAUUAAUAUCAGCUUUGUAAAAACAUUGCACAAUUUAAAUAGAAAAUGAAAUCUAAAUCUAUCUAUGCAUUCAUCUUUGUUCUCACGUCCUAUUACAAACUCAUCCCUUUCAUUUUGAAGAUAAAUUAUAAACAUUUAUUAACCGAUCUUACACAUUAACCCAACUAUCUAGCACUCUGAAAACAAAAAUAUAAAUUUUAUUUAGACAAUCUUGUAGUAACACCAUCAUCCUUUUCUAUGAUAAACAACACUUUGUGACAUACUGCAUUACCCUCCUCCUGUGUAACACUGUUUUUAAAGAUUGGUAACUAGCAUAAUAAUUUUCUCAUAUUUUUUUACCUUUUAUUGUAAAAAGCAGACAUGCAAAUACCAGCAAGAUGUCUAACAAUAACUUUGAAAUUAAACAAUUUUAGUUUAUUAAGCCAUUAUUUUCAAGGGGAAAAAACAGAAGAAAGAUCCAAAUAUAUUAUCACUAUUUUUUUUUUUUUGGCUUUUGUUGAAACAUGCAUUGGAAUUCACUUGGAUUCAUAAUUAAAGACCAACAAUAAAUCAAGAUCAAGUAUCUUGUGAAAUGAGUGUUGUUUUUUUUUCACUUUUAACUCUUCAAGACCGCAAUGACGCUGACAGCGACCAGUCUCCCGGCCGUGCUAACAUAAUGACGCUUCCAGUGUCCAAUCACUAUUUCCCUAUUUACUUCUUUUUCUUUUCUAAUCCACGUUUUUAAUCCCUUAAAUGGUUUAAGGAAACGCUAGAGCUGCCAUUUUGAAAGUUUUUUCAUUCUGAUACUUUGUUGAUCUAAGCUGUUUUUAUUGUUCUAAAUAUUUUUUUUUGUAAGUGACUAGUGAAUUUUUUGUUUUUUUGCAUCAGACAUCAUGGCUGACAGGCCUUCUUGCCAUUUUACUGCUGAUCAGGCUCUAAAUAUCUUUUUAGAUACGAAUGAUAGUGACAUGAGUGACUUAGACUUAGAUAGAGAUUCUAGAGCUAGAAAGUUAUAAUGAAAGCGAUUUUCAGACUCAAGCGAGUCUGAGAGUGAAUUAUUCAUCCCUAGAUCUAGUAAAAGUAGUAAACGAAAGGGGGCAUCGCCCCAGCCAGGCCCUAGUAGAUCUAGAAAGAAACCUCACUAAAAGUGUAAAUAUUGAUCAAGUUUGACAAAGUUAUGUUUUUUAAAUAGAUAAUUGGAUAGAGUUUAAUAUUUCAUACAAUAAUUAUGAUUGAGGACUGUUGGAAUAUUCUUUUUUACUUGGGAAAGUCCAUUUUUAAAGAUCAAAUUAAAAAAAAAAAAUUUUUUCAUCUCUGAAAUUACCUAAUUUUUUUUCCAGUGACUAUCUAUAACAUUGAAAGAUAAAUUAUCCUGUAGUACAUUCAAUUUCCAACAAAAUUUUAUAUAACAUGUCUAUGUUUUAACAAACAGAAAAAACAGUAUGACGUU